GGGGAAAAUGGGGGAUUUGGGGGGGAAAUUUGGGGGAAAAGUGGGGGAUUUGGGGCAAAUUGGGGGAUUUGGGGGAAAAUUGGGGGAUUUGGGGGAAAAAUUGGGGGGAAAUUGGGUUAAUUUAGGACAGAUUUGGGGUAAUUUGGGCCAUUUGGGGUGAGUUUGGGUCAUUUUGGUUGAAUUUGUGGCAUUUUGGGGUGAAUUUGGGUCAUUUUUGUGUAAUUUUGGGUUGUUUUGGGGACGUUUGGGUCAAUUUUGGGCGAAUUUGGGUCACUUUGGGGUGAAUUUGUGCCGUUUUGGGGUGAAUUUGUGCCAUUUGGGGGCGAAUUUUGGGCCAUUUUGGGGUGAAUUUGAGUCAUUUCUGGGGAUGUUUGGGUCAAUUUGGGGUGAAUUUGGGGCAUUUUGUGGCAAGUUUGGGUCAAUUUGGGGCAAAUUUGUGCAAUUUGGGGGCAAAUUUGGGGCAUUUUGGGGUGAAUUUGGGUCAUUUUUGGGGAUAUUUGGGUCAAUUUGGGGUGAACUUGGGUCAUUUUGGGGUGAAUUUGGGUCAUUUUGGGGCGAAUUUGUGCCAAUUUGGGGUGAAUUUGUGCUAUUUUGGGAUAAUUUGGGUCAUUUUGGGGUGAAUUUGGGGCAUUUUGGGAUAAUUUGGGUCAUUUUGGGGUGAAUUUGGGUCAAUUUGGGGCUAAUUUGGGAUAACUUGGGUCAUUUUGGGGUGAUUUGGAGUCAUUUUGGGGUGAAUUUGGGCCAUUUUGGGGUGAAUUUGAGUCAAUUUGGGGUGAAUUUGGGUCAAUUUGGGGGAAAUUUGGGGUGAUUUGGAGUCAUUUUGGGGUGAAUUUGGGUCAUUUUGGGAUGAAUUUGUGCCAUUUUGGGGUGAAUUUGGGUCAAUUUGGGGUGAAUUUGGGUCAUUUGGGGGAAAUCUGGGUCCUUUUUGUGUCAUUUUGGGUCAUUUUGGGGGAUGUUUGGCUCAAUUUUAGGUGAAUUUGGGACAUUUUGGGUGAAUUUGUGUCAUUUUGGGGUGGAUUUGGGCCUUUUUGGGGUGAAUUUGGGUCAAUUUGGGGCAAAUUUGGGUCAAUUUGGGGUGAACUUGGGUCAUUUUGUGGCAAGUUUGGGUCAAUUUGGGGCAAAUUUGUGCAAUUUGGGGGCAAAUUUGGGUCAAUUUGGGGUGAAUUUGGGGCAUUUUGGGAUAAUUUGGGUCAUUUUGGGGUGAAUUUGUGCCAUUUUGGGGCAAAUUUGGGCCAUUUUGGGGCAAAUUGGGGUCAAUUUGGGGUGAAUUUGGGUCAUUUUGGGGGGAAUUUGGGCCAUUUUGGGGCAAAUUUGGGCCAUUUUGGGGUGAAUUUGGGU
RNAcentral lists this long non-coding RNA (1338 nucleotides) under Phasianus colchicus (ring-necked pheasant). RNAcentral's name for it is "lncRNA (ENSPCLG00000015980.1)". The record is from RNAcentral. Lineage: Eukaryota; Metazoa; Chordata; Aves; Galliformes; Phasianidae.